GGGUGAGUCGGCCCCUAAGGCGAGACCGAAAGGUGUAGUCGAUGGGAAACGGAUUAAUAUUUCCGUACCUUGGAUAGCUGCGAUGGAGAGACGGAGAAGGCUAGGUGAGCCGGGCGACGGUUGUCCCGGUUUAAGCAUGUAGGCAGUGGGAUUAGGCAAAUCCGGUCCCACAAUGCCGAGACGCGACGACGACUGCCCUUUUAGGGCGGGAAGUCAUUGAUGCCCUGCUUCCAGGAAAAUCUUCUAAGCUUCAGGCUAUUCGAGACCGUACCCCAAACCGACACAGGUGGUCAGGUA
This 297-nucleotide ribosomal RNA is filed under the name Synchroma pusillum. RNAcentral describes it as "partial Bacterial large subunit ribosomal RNA". It matches the Rfam family "Bacterial large subunit ribosomal RNA", at positions 1377 to 1673 of the family's 2925-position model. Lineage: Eukaryota; Synchromophyceae; Synchromales; Synchromaceae. The record is from RNAcentral.